This 483-nucleotide ribosomal RNA is filed under the name Triticum aestivum (bread wheat). RNAcentral's name for it is "partial small subunit ribosomal RNA". The record is from RNAcentral. Lineage: Eukaryota; Viridiplantae; Streptophyta; Magnoliopsida; Poales; Poaceae.
AUGAUCUUACCACAUACUCAGCAACCGUAUCGUAGCCCAGGAUCACAUCCCCCAAGUUUCCUAUACAAGCGAACAAGGGUGAGAUGCCAGUUAUUUUGCAGAAGUAACGGUAACGGAAGGGGAACAAAGAAAGAAGCGUGUCAGUUCAUCACCUCUCGAGUCGGGGAGGAUCACGGACAUGAGGGUGGCACCCCAGUUGGUGACCUUGAUGGAGAAAUCCCCCUUCUUGAGCUCGUAGACACCGACGGUCUUCGUCUCGGCCGCCGCAUCGGCGCGGCCGGACAGGCCGAGCGCCACAAAGCACGAGGCGAGAAGAGGAGCGACGAGCAGGGCUCUCGCCAUUUUCAUCGCAAGGUGCUGUUCUUCUACGGAGUGUGGCCUUAUCAAGAAGAGCUGGAAGAAGGGGAGGCCCAGGAGAGGAGUUCCGGUAGGUACCGGAAGAAGGUCAUGCAUACGCGCGCACGUCAAGGCAAGGAAAUAUAA